Molecule: ribosomal RNA, 489 nt
Filed under: Penaeus pulchricaudatus
Lineage: Eukaryota; Metazoa; Arthropoda; Malacostraca; Decapoda; Penaeidae
Description: partial large subunit ribosomal RNA
Rfam family: Bacterial large subunit ribosomal RNA
Source: RNAcentral
CAAAAACAUGUCUAUAUGAUUGUUAUAUAAAGUCUAGCCUGCCCACUGAUUUGUUUUAAAGGGCCGCGGUAUAUUGACCGUGCGAAGGUAGCAUAAUCAUUAGUCUUUUAAUUGGAGGCUUGUAUGAAUGGUUGGACAAAAAGUAAGCUGUCUCGGUUAUAAUAAUUGAACUUAACUUUUAAGUGAAAAGGCUUAAAUGUUUCAGGGGGACGAUAAGACCCUAUAAAGCUUGACAAUAAUUUCGUUAUAUUAUAAAUUGUUAGUAUAACUUGAUUUUAACGGGAGUUUGUUUCGUUGGGGCGACGGGAAUAUAAUAAAUAACUGUUCUUUUAAAUAUAAUUACAAAAAUACUUGGUAAAUAAUUGAUCCUCUAUUAGAGAUUAAAAGAUUAAGUUACUUUAGGGAUAACAGCGUAAUCUUCUUUGAGAGUCCACAUCGACAAGAAGGUUUGCGACCUCGAUGUUGAAUUAAGGUAUCCUUAUAAUGCAG